Canis lupus familiaris (dog) is the source of this 2854-nucleotide long non-coding RNA. RefSeq lists it as uncharacterized. The record is from RefSeq and is a predicted model, not a curated record. The transcript is spliced from 6 exons. NCBI's taxonomy places the organism in Eukaryota, Metazoa, Chordata, Mammalia, Carnivora, Canidae.
UUCUCAAGCCCAUGGAAACAGGAAGGUUGUUGAUAAAGAGAUUAAUAUUUUGCCAUUCUUGGCGCAGCUGGCUGGCUCAGAUGGUGAAACGUGCAUCUCUUGAUCUCAGAGUUGUACAUUUGAGCCCCACAUUGGGUGUAGAAAUUGCUUAAAAAUAAAAUGCUUAAAAAUUUAUAUUUGUCAUUUUUGAAAAGGCAACUUUGAAUCAAGCCAAUGUUGAGCCCUACGAAAAUAUGAAGACUCCGGAAGGUUGGCUUCAAAAUUAAUUUAUAUUCUUUGAACUUAUGUUGGCUACAUAGGAAGAGAAAGCCAAGAAUUUGCUGAAAGCUGAAGAAGUCCUGUUUGUGUACUGAUGUUGCCUUUGCAGCCUGGCCUGAAGUUGGGGCAUGUGAACAAGCCUACACAUUAAAUGUUGGAGAUAUAAAGGCUAAACCUGAGAUUCUGAAAAUAGCUGAGGACAAUAAAAAAAAAAAAAUUGAAGCAAGCCUGGAGCAAGGAAGAGGAGGAACAAAAAGAAUACUACUCACCAGGAGCAUACUGUAUUGAUGGACAUUUUAAGCACUGUCCAAUUGGUAGAAGAUAAGCAAGAUCAUAGGAAUAUAUGACAACACGAAGGCGAGCAGGGAGAGGAAGAUGAGAAUGAACAGUAGAAGAAUUUUGCAUAAGAUCCAAAGGACCACAUUGGAGUGGGGAGCAUCCACAUCCUUGAAAAGCUCUGUAAUGGCUGAUCACGGAGAAACCUCUCUUGAAAUGGAGCCUACAUGAGAGAGUACUGCUGAGAAGCGAAGAUUAAGAAUCGGGUCCUUGUUUGAGCUCUGGAUCAAGCCGCAUCUGAACCAGACACAGCCUAGACCAGUCCGUUAAAAGAAUCCUCCCCUCCUCUUCUUUCUCCUGCUAACCAAUUUGUGUUUCAUAUUAUGUUUAUUACAUCAAAAGCAUCAUAAUUGAUCUAAUAUUCUAAAAACAACCUCUUGUCAAAAAAAGGAAUCCCCUUUAUUCAAUAUAUAUUUAUUGAGUGCCUACUAUGUGUAGCCCUGUACCGGAAAUGUGAUGUUGAGCAAAAACUACUGUGUCCUUAAGUGCUUAAAUAGAAAUGAAUUGGUUUUUUUUUUUUAAGAUUUAUUUAUUUAUUUUGGAGAGGGAGAGAGAGAAAGAGAGAGAGAGAAAGAGAGAGAGAGAGAGAUGGGUUGGGAGAAUGGCAAAGGAAGGAGAGAGAGAAUCUCAAGCAGACUUCCUGCUGAUUGUGGAGCCUGUUGUCACAGCUUGAUCUCACGACCCGUGAGAUCAUGGCCCAAACCAAAACCAAGAGUUAGCCACUUAACUGAUUAUACCACCCAGGCUCCCCAUCAACUAAAAGUAUUUUUAAGAAUUUUUAUCCAAAUUUUCUUGGUGUUCUGAGGGAAGAGUUUUCAGUAUAUGUAAUCCACCAUACUACCAGAAAUAGUAACCCUUCAGUCUUUCUCAAUGAAAUUUUAUGUAACUUUUCUAUGAACCAUUCUAUUCUUUUUUUAAAAAAAGAUUUUAUUUAUUUAUUCAUGAUAGUCACACAGAGAGAGACAGAGAGGCAGAGACACAGGCAGAGGGAGAAGCAGGCUCCAUGCACCGGGAGCCCGACGUGGGAUUCGAUCCCGGGUCUCCAGGAUCGCGCCCUGGGCCAAAGGCAGGCGCCAAACCGCUGCGCCACCCAGGGAUCCCGAACCAUUCUAUUCUUAACUGUAACCAGCUAUGGUAUGAAGAUUAAGGAUUAAGAGGUUUUUCCCAAAACAUGCUCUAGCUUCUCUUGUAAAUUCUACAUGACCACCUGGGGCUCCGUGGUAGAAAAGCCUUUAUGCCACAAUAACACAGUAUCUAAUAUUUAUCUUUGAACUAAAGGCCCCUUAAGAGAGGGGCCUCCAGGGGCAUCUGGGUGGCUCAGUCAGUUAAGCGUCUGCCUUUGGCUCAGGUCAUGAUCCCAGGGUCCUGGGAUCAAGCCCCAUGUCCCAUGCCAGGCUCCCUGCUCAGUGUGGAGCCUGUUUCUCCCUCUCCCUCUGCCAGCUGCUCCCCCUGCUUGUGUUCAUUCUCUGUCUCUCUCUGUCAAAUAAAUAAAUAAAAUCUUAAAAAUAAAAAGAAUGGGGCCUCCUUAGGGUCUAAUGCAGGAACAUGCAGAGAGUAGAUGAGCAAUGCAUUUUCCUUGAACUAUGAGGACAGGAUUUAUUCAUUUACUUCAGUGCCGAGUUGGAAUUACAUUUCCCCUAACAGUAGGUUUGAGAUAGCUACCACAAGUACUUCGAUCUGUAGUGAGAGAUAGAGGAAUCAUUCUGGGAAGACAAAAAAAUAUACAUCAUUGGGAGGGCUGUCUUACACUCAAACACCAAUUAGGCAUAUUUCUAAUAGUAUCUGCCUAUGCUUUUAUGUGAACCCAAAGCAUGAAAGAAAUGAAAAGCCCAGUAUGCCACAUUAGCAAGAGUGUCCCCUUUGGACAGCUAAAUGGCCUUUCCUCAACAAGCGAACAAACAAGUCUGAGCUCAAAAACUUCAAAUGUUGUCAUUAUUAUUAAAUUCACAUUAUUUACAUAUAAAUGUUACUGAAUUAUCAUUAUUAUUUGAUCAACUUACUUUGUUAUUUAUAUUUAAUUAUUAUUCAGAAAAAUGAAAUAUCCAUGCCUACUGAAUGACCAGAAUCAAGCUUGGCAAUAAGAUUCAUACUUCAGCUUUGCUCCUAGGGAAGUGCCUGUUAAGCACUCUUUGAAUUUUGCAUCCAUUUCCUGGUUCUGAGUCUCACUGAACAAAUUUUUCCAAUCGCCAACUUCACCUGCAACACACACAAAAAACAGACCCAGACGUCUGUUAGAGUAUUUCUUCCUGAUUUUUUUUAA